GACGCAUUGCCUCUCAAAAAUCAAUACACCCUACGGAAUCAACGCAUUGAUGCCAUUUGAUCAUAAUGACAUGGAUCCAGAAGUAGUUAUGGCUCUUCUUAAAAAAUCAUUGGCCACUGAUGAGUUUUAUUUAGAUUGUAUUAUGCGCUUCACGGUAAUUUGUUUGAUAUUUAUCACUGUCGGCCUCAUUAUCUAAUAUUGAAAGAAUCUUUGGCUCAUCGAUCACACAAAUAAGUUACCUCACGCUCUUUUUCAAUUUUGUUACCAAAACCUUGUUUUUGUUUAAAAUAUCCUUUUUUUCUGGAAGAAACUCUCCACAUCCUCAUUUCAAGUUACAUUUGCAUGUUUUCUAUUGUUUUUUUUUUACAUACAUAUGUAUAAUUAUGAAGCAAAUAAAUUAAUUUACUGGCGAUAUUUCUGGAAAUAGGUGGCAUUUACGAUCUUCAUCCUGUAAUUAUUAUCUUGUUAUCACAUUCUGUUUUAUUCAAAGCUUACCCUCAAACUGAAAAAAAUUAUUCAAAAUUCUCCGUGACGUCACAGAAAUUCGAAAAUAUUUUCCCGCCAUUUUGUGUGCGGUGGGGCGAUGGGACAGCCUCCUCAAAAUUCUGGCAAUUUUGGUAUUCUUUGAAACUAUUGACACACCUGGUUUAGUUUUCAACUAUGAAACGUUUGUAGAGAAUAUAAUUAAUUGCUUUGUUCUCUGGAUCUUUUUUGAUAUCUCAGUAGAAAUAAAUUUUUAAAAAAUAUAUAUGAUAUUUAUUGAAAUCUUUAAAACAAUUAAAAUAUUUAUUCAGGGACCUCCAUGUCGUAGGUAUCUUCCGAUUCAAAAAUGCGAAGAGUUUUUGAUCGAAAAAUCUGAAAAAUCAAUAAAGGAGAAACUCAAACUGGUUAAGAAAUAUCAGCUGAAGAGUUUAAAG
RNAcentral lists this small RNA (917 nucleotides) under Caenorhabditis elegans. RNAcentral's name for it is "Unclassified non-coding RNA C40A11.11". Lineage: Eukaryota; Metazoa; Nematoda; Chromadorea; Rhabditida; Rhabditidae. The record is from RNAcentral.